UGAUAUUUUGUGUGAUCUCUAAUUCCGGCUUAUAAUAAAGAAAAACAAAUGAUUCAAUAUUUAUUUAUAUUUUGGCGCUUAUGUGUUUAGUGUUACUUUGUCGCUCAAGCAGUUAAGUGUGAAUUUUUUAGCUGUAGGAACUUGUUUAUUUUUUUAUAACUCGGUUUCAAUUGCCAUGUCAAAUACUGGAAAAUUAUUUAUAUUCAACUUAAAAAAAAUCGAUGGGAAUCCUAAUAUAUCACAUGCGGAUAAUUCUUCCAUAUUAUUAAAAAACAGUGACAAUGAAAUUAGAAUUUUAAUAGAAACAUUCGAAAAAUUUAAUGCUGAUACUCAAAUUGUCGAAGAAACGUCAAAGGACAAAGUAAUAGAGAAAUUGACAAAAAUUGAGAAAGCUGAUUUCGCUAGAUAUAAAUAUGUCGCAGCAGCUGUACUUUUACAUCAUAAAAAUGAAAAUAUUGCACCCCAAUUACUCUAUUUUCAUAAUGAAAUCAUUUUAGCAUUUUUGAAGAAUUUUACAUUAAAAAAUAAGCCGAAGUUAUUUUUAAUACAAGCCUGUAGAAAUAAUUUUGAUAUUUUUGAUUCGACACCAAUGACCGGAAAUCGUGAAUACUUUACACCAACUAAAAUGAUAAUCUGCUAUGCAUCGAGAUAUAAUUGCUCAAAUUAUCAGGAUGAAUAUGCAAGUCGUUUCAUUGAGAAAUUCUGCGAAAAUUUGCAAAAUGAUGGUUUAAAUCUUUCUGUUCAAAGAAUAAUGAAAAAUACCAUACGAACGAUAAAGGAAGAAACUGACGAAAAACAAAUUCCCAGUUAUUUGGAUCAUUUUCACGGUGAUUUGAUGCUAUCAGCAUUCACAAUUUGAUUGUAUGACAACUAUAUUGCAAAUUUGCAUUAUAUAAAUGUGGUACUUAAUGUAUUAAUUUGUAUUUUUAAAUUGACUAGUAAAAAUUUAGUGAAGGUUGUUUAAAAUUUAAAUAUAUUUUCCUUUGUUAAAUAAAAUAAGAUGUAUACUUUUUGCAAUUGCAAUUAGUAUUAAUGAGAACCGAAUAAGUUUUCUUAUAGUUUUGGAUGACUUAAGUCUAUGAACGCCAAUAUGAACAGUUGCACGCACGUUUCUUAAAUAGUGAUAUCCCCAAGAACUUCCUCUUUUAUUCUUAAACUCUUGAAACUAAUGUUUUUCCGAAGUGAAAACGAAUUCUUAAAAGUGAUGCCGCUUUAGUGAAAGCACUAUGCAAUAAAUUCGCCUGUUCAACAUGAAAAAUGUAUUCAUAUACUAAUUAUUUAUUUAUAGUGCAUGGUAUUAACUUUUAUUUGAAAUUGCUUGGUAUGAACUAUUUUUACUAUAUAAUUACUUUGAAUUACUUUCAAUUACUUAUUACUAGCAAUACUUUUAUUUUGAAAUGUAAAUCAAGGCAUAAUAAUUAAUACAUACUAUGGUUGGAUUACCUUAGAUGCAAUUAUGAGAUUAAAAUUAAGAAUAAUCUUAUAUAAGACGGUUGCUUCUAGCAGGUUGGUAAGAAAAUAUUCAUUUACUUGUAACAAUAGAGGGUUUAGAAAUAAAAUAUUAUUCAUUGAAUUUUGAUUAAUUUUUUUUAAAAAAAUGUUUUAUUUUCCAAAAACAAAAUAUUUUUAAUAAUUAUGAAUGAAAUGAAAGUUUCAAAAAUAAUAAAUUUUUACUUAACAUAUGUUAAACUCGUUUAAUUUAUUUUCUCUUUUGUUCAUAAAACAUUUUCUUAUAUCUUUUAUUAUUUUGUUUUGCGUUCUGUAAGUACUUAUGUGAAAUAAAAGCUCAAAUUAAUAAAAAUUCAAAAUCAUAAAUUUUUUAUUUAAAUUCUAAAAGGCUUUCUUUGUAAGCUUAAGAAUUCAAAUUUGUUUUUUUUUUAUAAUUUUAGAAAAAUUUUACAUUUACAUAUUGAAUUAAGCUGUAAUUAUAAUAAAAGUUCAUUUUCAUUUAGUAUAAUUGUCAGUUUUAGGGAUAAAUCUGAGUUUGUUCUCUUUGAAUUUUGAUUUUAUCAAUGAUGAACUGGAAUUUUCCAAAAGUACUUAUCUCUUUUUUGUGUAUAAUUUUUUUGUUUUACUAUUUUUCAUUUUAAGUAUUUUUGUUGUUUUUUUUUGUUCUUUUUGUAUUUUCUUUUCUUUUGUGUGUGUAUGCAAAUUUUAAACUUUUUCUUUUUUAACUUUAGUUUUAUUUUAAUUUUAUUAUAUAAUUGCAAUUUAUUCUUAUAUAUUUUAAGUUUAAUCUUCUUAAAUGACAAAAAUAUUACUCUAUUGCAUGCGUUUUUUUUCUAAUUUUUUUAAUAUUAUUAUUAUUAUUUAAUUUCUUUGUUUUUUAUAUUUUGCUGCACAACAAAAGUUUGCAAUAUAGAAUAAUAGUACAGUUAUUUUCAUUUAAUAAUAAUUUCUUUUUUUAUAUCUAAAUUUUUAAUACUUAAAAAUUAUUUGUUUUUGAAUCAGUUCUUUGUUUUAUUUUUGUUUUCUUUUCAUUUCAUUAUACAUAUAUAAUGUAUAUUUUAUAUAUUACAAAUAUAUAUUAUAAUAUAUUAACUUAUAUAUUGCAUAUAUUAAUAUGAAUAUACGUUGAUUUUAUUUUAUUUAAUUUGAUAAAAAUAAUAAUGUUUAUUUGGAAUGUAAUUUAAAAUGAAAUUUAUUUUAAUAACGAAGUUUUUUGAAAUGUUCGCAACAUUAAAAAUUAUAAAAUUUAAUGAAAUGUUAAAUUUGUUUUUCUUAAUUUAAAUUAUUGCAUUGGAUACAUGCAUUAUUGCCAAUUCGUAGUGAUAUAAUAAUAAUUAUUUUUAAUUUAAAAAUUAUUAUACUUGAAAUAUAAAUAUACACGGUAUGUCUUUGUGUAAAUGAUGAAACUACUAAAGGAUAACUUAUAAACCUAAUAUUUUUAAGUGAGAAAGUUUCUUAUUGCAGUAAUACAUUUUUUUAAAUUCGAUUCAGCUUUAAACAUAAGUUUCUCAUUUGAAAGUGAUAACGAAUUUUUGUUUUUUUUUCUCCUUCUUUCUUUUUUUUUCAUUUAAUAUUAAUAAAAAAUAUUAAAUCUGUAUUUUUUGACAGGCCUCCGCCUGUCCGCGUAACGUAAUAAUAGUCACUAUAACAUAAAAGUAUGUAUAUGAACUGUAAAAAUUGGAAAACUAUUCUUUAAAAUUAAAGUAAAUGAUGAUUAAAAAUACAAUAAACUAUGUUUCCAAAUUAAUUAUUAAAGAAUGUUAUCGAUUUUAUUGAAUGUCUUUUUGAAAAAAUAUUACAAAGAAAUUAUAAGAUUGGCAGAAUAAUACACAAUUUCAUUUUAUAACUUCUCGAUUAUUGUGCAUAUUCAGUUUGACUCUACAAGACGCUAUAUGAAUAUGAUUCUCACGAUUCUCAUCACAUUCUUACAUUUUUUAUUAUGUACUUAUGAAACAAAAUGCAUUUUUAACAAAAGAAAUAUUCAAUUUAAAUUAUGACAUGCGUCUAAUUCUAGGUAGUGUUUAUAUCACAAAUGUAAAAAAAAAAUUGCUUAAAAUUAAAAAGUAAAUAUGUAUGUAGUUUUACAGAAAUAGUUUUUAUGAAAUGAAAAGAUUACACAAACAUUUUACAAAACAGAAAACAAAACAAUAAACUUAUUCUAAAAAUUCUUAUGCGCACAUAAAGGUACCAUUUAGACACGAAAAUUAUACAACUUUUUCUUUUUCAAAAAAAUAUAAUUCUUUUUUUUUAUAUAAAUAAACAUUUAGUGAAUUUGUUUUAACAAUUAAACAAUUUUUGUUUCAAUAAUUAAAAUACUUAUUAUAUGAGUACAUUUUGCCACUUGUUACAUAUAUAGUUUUUGACUUAUAUGUAUUUAUAUAAAUAACUCGAUUUCAAAAUUGCAGUAACGCCAUAUCGCCAUAUAAAUUGACAAUUAUAACUUAUAUACUAAAUAGUACACUAUAACUGUGUUACUGAAAUUUUGAAAUCAGAAUGAGUUGAAUUUUUUACGCAAAUACCA
Molecule: RNA transcript, 3970 nt
Organism: Condylostylus longicornis
Lineage: Eukaryota; Metazoa; Arthropoda; Insecta; Diptera; Dolichopodidae
Exons: 5
Source: RefSeq, a predicted model, not a curated record